GGAGAAGUGCCGGGAGAUCCGGGAAACCAGAAAACCGGGAAAUGGGGAAACGGGAUAUUCGAGAAACGAGAAAGCCGGGGAACCGGACAAACCGGCUGGGGGAGAGGAGGCAAACGUGAUCAGCCGCCGGGGCGGGGAAGGAAGGCCGGGCCGGGCCGGGCCUGGCCGGGAGUCCGGGGGGCCAGGGGUCGGGGGGUCGCCCUAGGACCCGGGACAAGCGGUGGAAGGGAAGGGCCGGAGCCUGCCAGGCCGGGCCGGCCUGUCCUGGGGGGCCCUGGCGGUCAGCGAGGCGGGGGACCCCCCAAAAAGUCCUGUCUCCCUUGGGCACCACCUGAAGAGAGAGAGGAGCGUCGAAGCCCGAGUGACCCCCCCCCCCCCCAGCCCCGACUCUGAAAGGACGCCCGGGCUUCCCAGCCCAGGUCAGCGACCCCCCAACAAGCCCCACAGACCCUCUCAGGGGGACAAAAGGGGUUGGGGCGACCCCGGGGGUCAUUUUGGGGGGCCGGAGGACGGGGUGAGCGCGGGAGGCUGGACCAGGCCCGGAGGCCGGGGAGGAGGAGGAGGAGGGGGGAGAGGAGGAGUUUAGUCCCGAGGGGAGGGUCCCUCCGGCCGGCCGCCCCGCCCCUCCCCGGCCAGCCCCCCCCACCCCCCCUUUCCCCGACUCCCGCCCCCCGCCCCGUCUCCUCCGCACAAACUUUCCGCCCCUCUCGCUCCCUCCUCCGCGCCCAACGCCUCCCGCUCCCACCCGGCUCAUUCCGCACAUUCCUGCCCUACACCCCCCCCCCCAACCACGACGAUCCCGCCCCCCCAACCACCGCCCCCGCGGCGACCCCGACCGGAGACCCCAGAACUCGGACCAGAGGCCACUGGAGCGACAGGCUGGGCUCUGAAAGGGGAAAGAGCAUGGAGCUGGAAGUUAGAAGACCUGGGCUCUAAUCCCAGCUCUGUCACUUGCCUGCUGUGUGACCUCAGAUAAGUCGCUUCCGCCUCAGUUUCUUCAUCUGUAAAAUGGGGGUGAAAUAUCUGUUCUCCCACUUAGGUUGUGCAGGUCAUGUGCGACAGGGACUGUGUCCCGUCUGAUUAUUGUAUCUGUGCCCCAGUGCUUAGCACGGUGCUUGGCAUAUAGUAAUUGCUUAAUAAAUUCCACCAUUAUUGCUAUUAUUAUUAUUAUUGUUAUUUUUGGUUUGCGCCCCCUGGAGUUGAGUCGCCAUUUCAUGAACCUUGGGAUGUCCUCCUGACAAGCCCCAGGAUGAACCGUAUGUCCUGGAAAGAGCAGUCCUGACCUGGGGAAUCAGCCAGUCCCCUUAAUGCUCUCCAAUGCACUAAAUCUGUAGGAUUGCUGUAUCCAGCUCCUGUUGACCAGAAAGGCC
This 1370-nucleotide long non-coding RNA is filed under the name Ornithorhynchus anatinus (platypus). Its description in RNAcentral is "lncRNA (ENSOANG00000050298.1)". The record is from RNAcentral. Lineage: Eukaryota; Metazoa; Chordata; Mammalia; Monotremata; Ornithorhynchidae.